AUCGAAAGCUUGCUUUUGAUGGGCGUCGACCGGCGCACGGGUGAGUAACGCGUAUCCAACCUGCCCAUCACUUGGGGAUAACCUUGCGAAAGUAAGACUAAUACCCAAUGAUAUCCCACGAAGGCAUCCGAAUGGGAUUAAAGAUUUAUCGGUGAUGGAUGGGGAUGCGUCUGAUUAGCUUGUUGGCGGGGUAACGGCCCACCAAGGCAACGAUCAGUAGGGGUUCUGAGAGGAAGGUCCCCCACAUUGGAACUGAGACACGGUCCAAACUCCUACGGGAGGCAGCAGUGAGGAAUAUUGGUCAAUGGGCGAGAGCCUGAACCAGCCAAGUAGCGUGCAGGAUGACGGCCCUAUGGGUUGUAAACUGCUUUUAUAAGGGAAUAAAGUGGGUCACGUGUGACUUUUUGCAUGUACCUUAUGAAUAAGGACCGGCUAAUUCCGUGCCAGCAGCCGCGGUAAUACGGAAGGUCCGGGCGUUAUCCGGAUUUAUUGGGUUUAAAGGGAGCGUAGGCCGGAGAUUAAGCGUGUUGUGAAAUGUAGAGGCUCAACCUCUGCACUGCAGCGCGAACUGGUCUUCUUGAGUACGCACAACGUGGUCGGAAUUCGUGGUGUAGCGGUGAAAUGCUUAGAUAUCACGAAGAACUCCGAUUGCGAAGGCAGCUCACGGGAGCGCAACUGACGCUGAAGCUCGAAAGUGCGGGUAUCGAACAGGAUUAGAUACCCUGGUAGUCCGCGCGGUAAACAAUGGAUGCCCGCUGUUGGCCUGAAUAGGUCAGCGGCCAAGCGAAAGCAUUAAGCAUCCCACCUGGGGAGUACGCCGGCAGCGGUGCAACUCAAAGGAAUUGAC
Molecule: ribosomal RNA, 847 nt
Filed under: uncultured bacterium
Lineage: Bacteria
Description: bacterial SSU rRNA
Rfam family: Bacterial small subunit ribosomal RNA
Source: RNAcentral